AUGUGCGGCAGGCUAACACAUGCAGUCGAGCGGCAGCGGGAAAGUUAGCUUGCUUACUUUUGCCGGCGAAGCGGCGGACGGGUGAGUAAUGCCUGGGGAUCUGCCCAGUCGAGGGGGAUAACUACUGGAAACGGUAGCUAAUACCGCAUACGCCCUACGGGGGAAAGCAGGGGACCUUCGGGCCUUGCGCGAUUGGAUGAACCCAGGUGGGAUUAGCUAGUUGGUGAGGUAAUGGCUCACCAAGGCGACGAUCCCUAGCUGGUCUGAGAGGAUGAUCAGCCACACUGGAACUGAGACACGGUCCAGACUCCUACGGGAGGCAGCAGUGGGGAAUAUUGCACAAUGGGGGAAACCCUGAUGCAGCCAUGCCGCGUGUGUGAAGAAGGCCUUCGGGUUGUAAAGCACUUUCAGCGAGGAGGAAAGGUUGGUAGCUAAUAACUGCCAGCUGUGACGUUACUCGCAGAAGAAGCACCGGCUAACUCCGUGCCAGCAGCCGCGGUAAUACGGAGGGGUGCAAGCGUUAAUCGGAAUUACUGGGCGUAAAGCGCACGCAGGCGGUUGGAUAAGUUAGAUGUGAAAGCCCCGGGCUCAACCUGGGAAUUGCAUUUAAAACUGUCCAGCUAGAGUCUUGUAGAGGGGGGUAGAAUUCCAGGUGUAGCGGUGAAAUGCGUAGAGAUCUGGAGGAAUACCGGUGGCGAAGCGGCCCCCUGGACAAAGACUGACGCUCAGUGCGAAAGCGUGGGGGAGCAAAGCAGGAUUAGAUACCCUGGGUAGUCCCACCGCCGUAAACGAUGUCGAUUUGGAGCUGUGUCGUUGAGACGUGGCUUUCCGGAGCUAACGCGUUUAAAUCGACCGCCUGGGGGAGUACGGCCGCAAGUAAAACUCAAUGAACUGACCGGGGGCCCGGCACAAGCAUGAAGCAUGUGGCUUAAUUUCGAUGCAACGCGUGGAACUUACUGACAUGACAUGUUCUGGAAUCUGUCUAAGAAUGCGACAUUGCGUACAGGAAUCAGCAA
RNAcentral lists this ribosomal RNA (1016 nucleotides) under bacterium. RNAcentral describes it as "bacterial SSU rRNA". It matches the Rfam family "Bacterial small subunit ribosomal RNA", at positions 33 to 1032 of the family's 1533-position model. The record is from RNAcentral.